AGCAGUGUAGCACAGUGGUUAGGGUGCUAGCCUUGUAACUGAAAGGUUGCUGGUUCAAUUCCCUACUAGGGCACUGCUG
This is a non-coding RNA of Megalops atlanticus (tarpon), 79 nucleotides long. The record is from the annotation of a GenBank genome assembly. NCBI's taxonomy places the organism in Eukaryota, Metazoa, Chordata, Actinopteri, Elopiformes, Megalopidae.